CAAAAACAUUGCUUCCUGACAACUGAUAGGAAGUAACUUCUGCCCAGUGACAUAGUUCAACGGCCGCGGUAUCCUAACCGUGCAAAGGUAGCAUAAUCACUUGCCCAUUAAUUGUGGGCUAGAAUGAAAGAAUAAACGAAAUAAAUCCUGUCUCAGUUAAUUUUAUAUAAGUUAUUAUCUAGCUGAAGAAACCUAGAUAAAAUCGAAGGACAAGAAGACCCUAUAGAGCUUUAUCCUAAAAAAGAGUAACGCUUUUCUAAGAUUCGGUUGGGGCGACCAAGGAUAUACUAAACAUCCUUCUCUAAAAGAUAAAUUUAUCAAAUUCAUGACCCUAAAUACUAGAUCAUAAAACCAAGCUACCUUAGGGAUAACAGGCUAAUCUCAUUAAAGAGUUCUUAUCAAUAAUGGGGGUUGGCACCUCGAUGUUGGCUUAGGGAAUCAACACGGCGCAAAAGUCGUGCAAAGAUGGUUUGUUCAACCAGUAAUACCCUACGUGAUC
This 499-nucleotide ribosomal RNA is filed under the name Biwadrilus bathybates. RNAcentral's name for it is "partial 16S ribosomal RNA". It matches the Rfam family "Bacterial large subunit ribosomal RNA", at positions 1808 to 2605 of the family's 2925-position model. Lineage: Eukaryota; Metazoa; Annelida; Clitellata; Crassiclitellata; Criodrilidae. The record is from RNAcentral.